GGGGAAUAUUGCACAAUGGGCGCAAGCCUGAUGCAGCGACGCCGCGUGAGGGAUGACGGCCUUCGGGUUGUAAACCUCUUUCAGCAGGGAAGAAGCGCAAGUGACGGUACCUGCAGAAGAAGCGCCGGCUAACUACGUGCCAGCAGCCGCGGUAAUACGUAGGGCGCAAGCGUUGUCCGGAAUUAUUGGGCGUAAAGAGCUCGUAGGCGGUUUGUCGCGUCUGCUGUGAAAACGCGAGGCUCAACCUCGCGCCUGCAGUGGGUACGGGCAGACUAGAGUGCGGUAGGGGAGACUGGAAUUCCUGGUGUAGCGGUGGAAUGCGCAGAUAUCAGGAGGAACACCGGUGGCGAAGGCGGGUCUCUGGGCCGUAACUGACGCUGAGGAGCGAAAGCAUGGGGAGCGAACA
Molecule: ribosomal RNA, 406 nt
Filed under: uncultured bacterium
Lineage: Bacteria
Description: bacterial SSU rRNA
Rfam family: Bacterial small subunit ribosomal RNA
Source: RNAcentral